Molecule: long non-coding RNA, 229 nt
Organism: Perca flavescens (yellow perch)
Lineage: Eukaryota; Metazoa; Chordata; Actinopteri; Perciformes; Percidae
Exons: 2
Source: RefSeq, a predicted model, not a curated record
UACUAAAAAUGUAACAACCUUACAAAAUAGCAUGGUGAGAAAAUGUAAUGCUGUUACAUUCUUUUGAAGCUGCAGCAACGUGAAAUCUCGUCUCGUAGCUGCAGCAACGUGAGAUCUCGUAGCAUGCGAGACUCACCCCGUUCUGCCCUGAGAAAGGACCAUACCAGAAAGAUGCCUGGAUCGACUAAAAAGUCCUGUAUCUCCUGUCACGCCAUGAUUGGCGUGGCAA